This 370-nucleotide ribosomal RNA is filed under the name uncultured eukaryote. RNAcentral describes it as "partial 18S ribosomal RNA". It matches the Rfam family "Eukaryotic small subunit ribosomal RNA", at positions 592 to 976 of the family's 1831-position model. The record is from RNAcentral.
CAAUAGCGUAUAUUAAAGUUGUUGCAGUUAAAAAGCUCGUAGUUGGACCUUGGACCUGGACAGGCGGUCCGCCUCACGGCGAGUACUGUCUUGCUGGGUCUUUCCUCUUGGUGAUCUGUUGUUUCGGCAGCAGGGAACCAGGACCUUUACUUUGAAAAAAUUAGAGUGUUCAAAGCAGGCUCGACGCCGGAAUAUAUUAGCAUGGAAUAAUAAAAUAGGACGUGCGGUUCUAUUUUGUUGGCUUUUGGAAUCGCCGUAAUGAUUAAUAGGGACAGUCGGGGGCAUUAGUACUCACAUGCUAGAGGUGAAAUUCUUGGAUUUUGUGAAGGCUAACUUCUGCGAAAGCAUUUGACAAGGAUGUUUUCAUUAA